CUUUCUGAAAAAAAUUUAUAAAAGCGAAGACGCGCUCUUGUUGAGUGAUUAAUUAUUAACAAUAAAUUGCGUUAAUUAAUUGUUAAUUUAUAAUCAAUCGAUUCGUUUUUUCGUCGCGAAUCUUUUGAUAUAUAAAUUAUUGCUGGAUACUGCUGAUUUCACGAGAUAACUUGAGAUUACUGAAAGACGCCAACAGACGCCGACAUAAAUGCAAUACAAAAUGGCCGCAGGUGCAAAAAAAGGAUGGCCAAUAAAUAUAUCUGAACGCUGAGUCAUUGACAAUGAAAAAUGACAGCAGAUACAGAAAAAGAUUACCAAAAACCAUUUGGAAAAUAUUUUUGGACAAGAGACAAAAGUCUUGGCACUUGAUUGAUUAAUAAAUAAUGUGAGUUCGGAAUAUUAAAAGCUGGCCAGUACUGAGCAUUAAGUUUUGUUUUAAACCAAGAUGUAAAAGAAUAUAUCCAGUAACAUGACAAACAAGACAGUCAUAUUGAAUUAAAAAUGUUAUUGUAACAAUUGGAAGACUUGACACUUGAGUGGUGUUGUGUCAACAGACAGAGAUAGAAGUUGAGUAUAAUUGUUGAGGAAGGAUCCUGCUGUUUAAUCAUCACAAUUAUUAAAAAAUCAAGUAACGAAAACUACGGUGAUGAUGCUGGUGGUGGUAAAAGGUACGUCGAUAUUACUUUUUCCUCAACAAAUCAGCUAAUUUAAUAUGAAAUCCCUCCAAUCAGUAAAUAUUGAUUAACAUACGAUUGAAAAUAUUUCAUAUUAAAUUCUGAUAUAACUGAAUCACAGUAAAAAAAAAAAUCAAUCAAAGAUUACAAAGAUUAUAAAGAUUAAUAACGAUGUUGAUGAUUAUCUCAACAAUACGUUUAAUUUAAAAAUAAAAAAAAUAGAGAAAUAAUUUUAAAUUUAAACUCUAUUGACUUGCGUUACUUACGUGCUCAUUACCACAACUGAUUUGUGAGAGCUAAAAAAAAAAAAUGUGUAACUCGAAUCAUCAUAAACUCGUUUAA
Aphidius gifuensis is the source of this 1016-nucleotide long non-coding RNA. RefSeq lists it as uncharacterized. The transcript has 5 exons. Lineage: Eukaryota; Metazoa; Arthropoda; Insecta; Hymenoptera; Braconidae. The record is from RefSeq and is a predicted model, not a curated record.